GGAACUAUGGUGUAAUGGUAAUACAGCAAGUACAGGUUCAAGUCCUGUCAGUUCUG
RNAcentral lists this transfer RNA (56 nucleotides) under Sphaerobolus stellatus SS14. It matches the Rfam family "tRNA". Rfam says of the family: Transfer RNA (tRNA) molecules are approximately 80 nucleotides in length. Their secondary structure includes four short double-helical elements and three loops (D, anti-codon, and T loops). Further hydrogen bonds mediate the characteristic L-shaped molecular structure. tRNAs have two regions of fundamental functional importance: the anti-codon, which is responsible for specific mRNA codon recognition, and the 3' end, to which the tRNAs corresponding amino acid is attached (by aminoacyl-tRNA synthetases). tRNAs cope with the degeneracy of the genetic code in two manners: having more than one tRNA (with a specific anti-codon) for a particular amino acid; and 'wobble' base-pairing, i.e. permitting non-standard base-pairing at the 3rd anti-codon position. Lineage: Eukaryota; Fungi; Basidiomycota; Agaricomycetes; Geastrales; Sphaerobolaceae. The record is from Rfam by way of RNAcentral.